UCAACUCAAAUUUGUAUGGAGUCGAAACAUGCUCCCUACCUUUGCCGCUAGGGGCGCUGUUCCAACUCCAUACAAAUUUGAGUUA
This is a non-coding RNA of Bombyx mori (domestic silkworm), 85 nucleotides long. Lineage: Eukaryota; Metazoa; Arthropoda; Insecta; Lepidoptera; Bombycidae. The record is from Rfam.